UGUUGGUUUCUAGGACCGCCGUAAUGAUUAAUAGGGACAGUCGGGGGCAUCAGUAUUCAAUUGUCAGAGGUGAAAUUCUUGGAUUUAUUGAAGACUAACUACUGCGAAAGCAUUUGCCAAGGAUGUCUUCAUUAAUCAGGAACGAAAGUUAGGGGAUCGAAGACGAUCAGAUACCGUCGUAGUCUUAACCAUAAACUAUGCCGACUAGGGAUCGGACGAUGUUAUAUUUUGACUCGUUCGGCACCUUACGAGAAAUCAAAGUGCUUGGGCUCCAGGGGGAGUAUGGUCGCAAGGCUGAAACUUAAAGAAAUUGGCGGAGGGGCACCACCAGGGGUGGAGCCUGCGGCUUAAUUUGACUCAACACGGGGAAACUCACCAGGUCCAGACACAAUGAGGAUUGACAGAUUGAGAGCUCUUUCUUGAUUUUGUGGGUGGUGGUGCAUGGCCGUUCUUAGUUGGUGGAGUGAUUUGUCUGCUUAAUUGCGAUAACGAACGAGACCUUAACCUGCUAAAUAGCCCGUAUUGCUUCGGCAGUACGCUGGCUUCUUAGAGGGACUAUCGGCUCAAGCCGAUGGAAGUUUGAGGCAAUAACAGGUCUGUGAUGCCCUUAGAUGUUCUGGGCCGCACGCGCGCUACACUGACGGAGCCAGCGAGUACUUCCUUGGCCGAAAGGCCCGGGUAAUCUUGUUAAACUCCGUCGUGCUGGGGAUAGGGCAUUGCAAUAAUCG
This 728-nucleotide ribosomal RNA is filed under the name uncultured fungus. RNAcentral's name for it is "SSU rRNA". It matches the Rfam family "Eukaryotic small subunit ribosomal RNA", at positions 842 to 1595 of the family's 1831-position model. The record is from RNAcentral. Lineage: Eukaryota; Fungi.